UCCGAAUUGGUGUAGUGGCUAACAUUUGACGCUCUCAAGUUGCCGGCAAUUAAAAAGCUAGCUCCUGGACGAUCCGUCAAGCCCGGGGUUCGAUUCCCCGAUUCGGAG
This 108-nucleotide transfer RNA is filed under the name Biscogniauxia mediterranea. Its description in RNAcentral is "tRNA-Glu". It matches the Rfam family "tRNA". Rfam says of the family: Transfer RNA (tRNA) molecules are approximately 80 nucleotides in length. Their secondary structure includes four short double-helical elements and three loops (D, anti-codon, and T loops). The record is from RNAcentral. Lineage: Eukaryota; Fungi; Ascomycota; Sordariomycetes; Xylariales; Xylariaceae.